GUCCAGAUGACGAGUCCCAAAUAGGACGAAACACUUGUACUGGAU
This 45-nucleotide non-coding RNA is filed under the name Schistosoma mattheei. The record is from RNAcentral. Lineage: Eukaryota; Metazoa; Platyhelminthes; Trematoda; Strigeidida; Schistosomatidae.